Small nucleolar RNA from Ornithorhynchus anatinus (platypus), 137 nucleotides. Lineage: Eukaryota; Metazoa; Chordata; Mammalia; Monotremata; Ornithorhynchidae. The record is from RefSeq and is a predicted model, not a curated record.
CCCCUCUUAGGAUUGCACUUGGAGAGUUUCCAGAACUCUACAGUCUCGACUAAGGGAGUGGGAGUCAAGCAGAGGCCUACCCAUUCCAUUCCUAGCUUGUCCAGUGGCUAGUGAGUGGAAGGCAAUCUGCUGCAAGA